UACGUAGGUGGCAAGCGUUAUCCGGAAUUAUUGGGCGUAAAGCGCGCGUAGGCGGUUUUUUAAGUCUGAUGUGAAAGCCCACGGCUCAACCGUGGAGGGUCAUUGGAAACUGGAAAACUUGAGUGCAGAAGAGGAAAGUGGAAUUCCAUGUGUAGCGGUGAAAUGCGCAGAGAUAUGGAGGAACACCAGUGGCGAAGGCGACUUUCUGGUCUGNUAACUGACGCUGAUGUGCGAAAGCGUGGGGAUCAAACAGGAUUAGAU
Molecule: ribosomal RNA, 261 nt
Filed under: uncultured Staphylococcus sp.
Lineage: Bacteria; Bacillati; Bacillota; Bacilli; Caryophanales; Staphylococcaceae
Description: partial 16S ribosomal RNA
Rfam family: Bacterial small subunit ribosomal RNA
Source: RNAcentral